CAGAGCCCACAGCCUCCCCAGCCUCCUCCUCACAGUGAAGCUUCAAACUGGGCCCAGGACCCAGGACAGGAGGGUCCUGUGGGCUCACAUUUGCAUAAUGACCAGCAAACACCCCCUGUGCCCAGGAGGCCGGGAGGAGAUAAAGGGACACCCGAGACCAGCACCUGCAAGAGACCGAGGCACCUUGGAAAGUCUCCACCAUGAGCUGGACUCCCCUCCUUCUCCUCCUCGCUCUCUGCCCAGGGUCCAGGUCUCAGGCUGUGGUGACUCAGGAGCCCGGAAUGACCGUGUCCCCCGGAGGGACAGUCACUCUCACCUGUGGCUCCAGCACAGGGGCUGUCACCGAUGGUCACUACCCGUACUGGAUCCAGCAGAAGCCGGGCCAGGUCCCCAGGACACUCAUUUAUAACACAGACAAGAAACACUCCUGGACGCCGGCCCGGUUCUCAGGCUCCAUUCAAGGGGGCAAAGCUGCCCUGACCCUCUCAGGGGCCCAGCCUGAGGACGAGGCCGAGUACUACUGCUGGCUAUACUUCAGUGGUGCUCACCACAGUGAGCGACCCUGA
Molecule: non-coding RNA, 566 nt
Organism: Myotis brandtii (Brandt's bat)
Lineage: Eukaryota; Metazoa; Chordata; Mammalia; Chiroptera; Vespertilionidae
Source: the annotation of a RefSeq genome assembly